UUUGCAAUUUAACACCAUAGUCCCCUAAAUGGCCAUCUAAUUCCUCUCCCUUUUUCUGCCUUGUAACCCUUUCCAUUUAUUCCCAUAUCUCUCCAUCCGUUCUCUCCCUCAAACACCUAUCACUUAUUCAAAAUUUCGUUUCUAAAUCAUUGCAAACAAAGCCUACAUUUUGUUGUUUCCUCCCCUUGACUCACCCUCAAAAAAGGCCCUAAUUUCUCAUCUAUUUUCCAUCUCCAAUGUUCAUUCAUACUUUUCCAUUUUUUAUUU
This 267-nucleotide long non-coding RNA is filed under the name Carica papaya (papaya). RNAcentral's name for it is "long non-coding RNA (CPAP_LNC011950)". Lineage: Eukaryota; Viridiplantae; Streptophyta; Magnoliopsida; Brassicales; Caricaceae. The record is from RNAcentral.